UACGUAGGGCGCAAGCGUUGUCCGGAAUCAUUGGGCGUAAAGAGCUCGUAGGUGGCGUGUCGCGUCUGCCGUGAAAGCCCAUGGCUUAACUGCGGGUCUGCGGUGGAUACGGGCAGGCUGGAGGCUGGUAGGGGCAAGCGGAAUUCCUGGUGUAGCGGUGAAAUGCGCAGAUAUCAGGAGGAACACCGGUGGCGAAGGCGGCAUCCUGGACCGGCAUUGACGCUGAGGCGCGAAAGCCAGGGGAGCAAACGGG
Molecule: ribosomal RNA, 253 nt
Filed under: uncultured bacterium
Lineage: Bacteria
Description: partial 16S ribosomal RNA
Rfam family: Bacterial small subunit ribosomal RNA
Source: RNAcentral